This 212-nucleotide unclassified non-coding RNA is filed under the name Melitaea cinxia (Glanville fritillary). RNAcentral describes it as "misc RNA ENSMCXG00005020162.1". Lineage: Eukaryota; Metazoa; Arthropoda; Insecta; Lepidoptera; Nymphalidae. The record is from RNAcentral.
GUCUUGGCAAACUUAGUGUGGGACGUCCUCCGGCCCGUUGGACCGACGAUCUACGUAAGGUUGCCGGUGUAGGCUGGAUGAGGAAAGCGGAAGACCGGGAUGUCUGGCGCGAACUUGGGGAGGCCUAUGUCCAGCAGUGGACUGCGAUAGGCUGAAGUUAAUGCUCAUUGUGCACAUUGUAUAGUCCCACUCGAGUAAACAGUGACUCGUCC